Drosophila busckii is the source of this 343-nucleotide long non-coding RNA. RefSeq lists it as uncharacterized. The transcript has 3 exons. The record is from RefSeq and is a predicted model, not a curated record. Lineage: Eukaryota; Metazoa; Arthropoda; Insecta; Diptera; Drosophilidae.
GUUCUAGUCGUUUUCAAGCACGUAUCAUCCACAAUGUGGCAGUAAACUACUUUGCAACAAUGGAUUAGCCAAGACACAAGCCGACACUGUUGAAAAACUUGCACUACACACUUAAUUGCAGGAUGUCAUUUGGAGAGAGCUGAGCUAUAAAGACUUUUAUGCUAAGUCAAAAUUGGAUUUUACUUCCGGAUGGCUUGGAGAAUCAGCACAAAAGUACAAAUCAGCACAAAUGAUACUACGAAGCAAGGACUAUUAGGUGAUCAAAGGAUAUUCGAAUCAUCUAUAUGCUUUCGAAGCUAUAGCUCGUUUUCAAUAGCAGGCAAUUCUAAUUUUUAAGCGUUUG